ACGGGAGGCAGCAGUGGGGAAUAUUGGGCAAUGGGCGAAAGCCUGACCCAGCAACGCCGCGUGAAGGAAGAAGGUCUUCGGAUUGUAAACUUCUUUUAUGAGGGACGAAGGACGUGACGGUACCUCAUGAAUAAGCCACGGCUAACUACGUGCCAGCAGCCGCGGUAAUACGUAGGUGGCAAGCGUUAUCCGGAUUUACUGGGUGUAAAGGGCGCGUAGGCGGGGAUGCAAGUCAGAUGUGAAAUCUAUGGGCUUAACUCAUAAACUGCAUUUGAAACUGUAUCUCUUGAGUGCUGGAGAGGUAGACGGAAUUCCUAGUGUAGCGGUGAAAUGCGUAGAUAUGCUGCAGAACUCCGAUAGCGAAGGCAGCUUGCCGUACCUGCACUGACGCUCAUGCACGAAAGCGUGGGGAUCAAACAGGAUUAGAUACCCUGGUA
Molecule: ribosomal RNA, 437 nt
Rfam family: Bacterial small subunit ribosomal RNA